RNAcentral lists this ribosomal RNA (3827 nucleotides) under Drosophila melanogaster (fruit fly). RNAcentral describes it as "eukaryotic LSU rRNA". The stretch from base 573 to 3827 matches the Rfam family "Eukaryotic large subunit ribosomal RNA", at positions 1 to 2739 of the family's 3401-position model. Lineage: Eukaryota; Metazoa; Arthropoda; Insecta; Diptera; Drosophilidae. The record is from RNAcentral.
ACUCUAAGCGGUGGAUCACUCGGCUCAUGGGUCGAUGAAGAACGCAGCAAACUGUGCGUCAUCGUGUGAACUGCAGGACACAUGAACAUCGACAUUUUGAACGCAUAUCGCAGUCCAUGCUGUUAUGUACUUUAAUUAAUUUUAUAGUGCUGCUUGGACUACAUAUGGUUGAGGGUUGUAAGACUAUGCUAAUUAAGUUGCUUAUAAAUUUUUAUAAGCAUAUGGUAUAUUAUUGGAUAAAUAUAAUAAUUUUUAUUCAUAAUAUUAAAAAAUAAAUGAAAAACAUUAUCUCACAUUUGAAUGUGAAAAACGAAGAGAAAUAUUUUCUUUUUCAAUCAAAUAAUACUGAGAAAUGUCUAGCAUAAAAAAUUGAAAUAUUUUUCAUCUAGAAUUGUCUCUUAUUAAUGAUUCGGAAAUAGAAAAAUCUUGGUUAUGUUAUUAUUCUUCGUUGGUUCGUUAAAAAUGGAUAAAUAAAAACUUUGCAUACAAGAAUUAAUAAAAAUGUUAUAACGAAUUUAAUUAAAUGUUUUAUCAUUAUAUAUAAAGAAUUUAUGGCAAGAUAAAGUUAUAUACAACCUCAACUCAUAUGGGACUACCCCCUGAAUUUAAGCAUAUUAAUUAGGGGAGGAAAAGAAACUAACAAGGAUUUUCUUAGUAGCGGCGAGCGAAAAGAAAACAGUUCAGCACUAAGUCACUUUGUCUAUAUGGCAAAUGUGAGAUGCAGUGUAUGGAGCGUCAAUAUUCUAGUAUGAGAAAUUAACGAUUUAAGUCCUUCUUAAAUGAGGCCAUUUACCCAUAGAGGGUGCCAGGCCCGUAUAACGUUAAUGAUUACUAGAUGAUGUUUCCAAAGAGUCGUGUUGCUUGAUAGUGCAGCACUAAGUGGGUGGUAAACUCCAUCUAAAACUAAAUAUAACCAUGAGACCGAUAGUAAACAAGUACCGUGAGGGAAAGUUGAAAAGAACUCUGAAUAGAGAGUUAAACAGUACGUGAAACUGCUUAGAGGUUAAGCCCGAUGAACCUGAAUAUCCGUUAUGGAAAAUUCAUCAUUAAAAUUGUAAUAUUUAAAUAAUAUUAUGAGAAUAGUGUGCAUUUUUUCCAUAUAAGGACAUUGUAAUCUAUUAGCAUAUACCAAAUUUAUCAUAAAAUAUAACUUAUAGUUUAUUCCAAUUAAAUUGCUUGCAUUUUAACACAGAAUAAAUGUUAUUAAUUUGAUAAAGUGCUGAUAGAUUUAUAUGAUUACAGUGCGUUAAUUUUUCGGAAUUAUAUAAUGGCAUAAUUAUCAUUGAUUUUUGUGUUUAUUAUAUGCACUUGUAUGAUUAACAAUGCGAAAGAUUCAGGAUACCUUCGGGACCCGUCUUGAAACACGGACCAAGGAGUCUAACAUAUGUGCAAGUUAUUGGGAUAUAAACCUAAUAGCGUAAUUAACUUGACUAAUAAUGGGAUUAGUUUUUUAGCUAUUUAUAGCUAAUUAACACAAUCCCGGGGCGUUCUAUAUAGUUAUGUAUAAUGUAUAUUUAUAUUAUUUAUGCCUCUAACUGGAACGUACCUUGAGCAUAUAUGCUGUGACCCGAAAGAUGGUGAACUAUACUUGAUCAGGUUGAAGUCAGGGGAAACCCUGAUGGAAGACCGAAACAGUUCUGACGUGCAAAUCGAUUGUCAGAAUUGAGUAUAGGGGCGAAAGACCAAUCGAACCAUCUAGUAGCUGGUUCCUUCCGAAGUUUCCCUCAGGAUAGCUGGUGCAUUUUAAUAUUAUAUAAAAUAAUCUUAUCUGGUAAAGCGAAUGAUUAGAGGCCUUAGGGUCGAAACGAUCUUAACCUAUUCUCAAACUUUAAAUGGGUAAGAACCUUAACUUUCUUGAUAUGAAGUUCAAGGUUAUGAUAUAAUGUGCCCAGUGGGCCACUUUUGGUAAGCAGAACUGGCGCUGUGGGAUGAACCAAACGUAAUGUUACGGUGCCCAAAUUAACAACUCAUGCAGAUACCAUGAAAGGCGUUGGUUGCUUAAAACAGCAGGACGGUGAUCAUGGAAGUCGAAAUCCGCUAAGGAGUGUGUAACAACUCACCUGCCGAAGCAACUAGCCCUUAAAAUGGAUGGCGCUUAAGUUGUAUACCUAUACAUUACCGCUAAAGUAGAUGAUUUAUAUUACUUGUGAUAUAAAUUUUGAAACUUUAGUGAGUAGGAAGGUACAAUGGUAUGCGUAGAAGUGUUUGGCGUAAGCCUGCAUGGAGCUGCCAUUGGUACAGAUCUUGGUGGUAGUAGCAAAUAAUCGAAUGAGACCUUGGAGGACUGAAGUGGAGAAGGGUUUCGUGUGAACAGUGGUUGAUCACGAGUUAGUCGGUCCUAAGUUCAAGGCGAAAGCCGAAAAUUUUCAAGUAAAACAAAAAUGCCUAACUAUAUAAACAAAGCGAAUUAUAAUACACUUGAAUAAUUUUGAACGAAAGGGAAUACGGUUCCAAUUCCGUAACCUGUUGAGUAUCCGUUUGUUAUUAAAUAUGGGCCUCGUGCUCAUCCUGGCAACAGGAACGACCAUAAAGAAGCCGUCGAGAGAUAUCGGAAGAGUUUUCUUUUCUGUUUUAUAGCCGUACUACCAUGGAAGUCUUUCGCAGAGAGAUAUGGUAGAUGGGCUAGAAGAGCAUGACAUAUACUGUUGUGUCGAUAUUUUCUCCUCGGACCUUGAAAAUUUAUGGUGGGGACACGCAAACUUCUCAACAGGCCGUACCAAUAUCCGCAGCUGGUCUCCAAGGUGAAGAGUCUCUAGUCGAUAGAAUAAUGUAGGUAAGGGAAGUCGGCAAAUUAGAUCCGUAACUUCGGGAUAAGGAUUGGCUCUGAAGAUUGAGAUAGUCGGGCUUGAUUGGGAAACAAUAACAUGGUUUAUGUGCUCGUUCUGGGUAAAUAGAGUUUCUAGCAUUUAUGUUAGUUACUUGUUCCCCGGAUAGUUUAGUUACGUAGCCAAUUGUGGAACUUUCUUGCUAAAAUUUUUAAGAAUACUAUUUGGGUUAAACCAAUUAGUUCUUAUUAAUUAUAACGAUUAUCAAUUAACAAUCAAUUCAGAACUGGCACGGACUUGGGGAAUCCGACUGUCUAAUUAAAACAAAGCAUUGUGAUGGCCCUAGCGGGUGUUGACACAAUGUGAUUUCUGCCCAGUGCUCUGAAUGUCAAAGUGAAGAAAUUCAAGUAAGCGCGGGUCAACGGCGGGAGUAACUAUGACUCUCUUAAGGUAGCCAAAUGCCUCGUCAUCUAAUUAGUGACGCGCAUGAAUGGAUUAACGAGAUUCCUACUGUCCCUAUCUACUAUCUAGCGAAACCACAGCCAAGGGAACGGGCUUGGAAUAAUUAGCGGGGAAAGAAGACCCUUUUGAGCUUGACUCUAAUCUGGCAGUGUAAGGAGACAUAAGAGGUGUAGAAUAAGUGGGAGAUAUUAGACCUCGGUUUGGUAUCGUCAAUGAAAUACCACUACUCUUAUUGUUUCCUUACUUACUUGAUUAAAUGGAACGUGUAUCAUUUCCUAGCCAUUAUACGGAUAUAUUUAUUAUAUCUUAUGGUAUUGGGUUUUGAUGCAAGCUUCUUGAUCAAAGUAUCACGAGUUUGUUAUAUAAUCGCAAACAAAUUCUUUAAUAAAACGAUGCAUUUAUGUAUUUUUGAUUUGAAAAUUUGGUAUAACUCCAAUUACUCAGGUAUGAUCCAAUUCAAGGACAUUGCCAGGUAGGGAGUUUGACUGGGGCGGUACAUCUCUCAAAUAAUAACGGAGGUGUCCCAAGGCCAGCUCAGUGCGGACAGAAACCACACAUAGAGCAAAAGGGCAAAUGCUGACUUGAUCUCGGUGUUCAGUA